RNAcentral lists this microRNA (22 nucleotides) under Ixodes scapularis (black-legged tick). Its description in RNAcentral is "Isc-Novel-1_5p* (star (passenger))". Lineage: Eukaryota; Metazoa; Arthropoda; Arachnida; Ixodida; Ixodidae. RNAcentral also lists the same sequence under 1 other name. The record is from RNAcentral.
GGUGAGAGGACAUAGCCAGUGC